CAAGAUAUAGCUAAACACAGAUAAAGCAUCUCACUUACACCGAGAAGGUACCCGUGCAAACCGGGUUGUCUUGAUUCAACAUAACUGGGCCAAACUAUUGGCCCCUCACAACAGACCCCCAAGACACAGCUAAAGUAAAAAUAGCCCCCCUCCCAGGGAAUCGUGCCCGUGAAAAUCGGGCUAUCUUGGAAUAUAAUUUGCAACAAAACAACAAGACACCCCCAACAACUUUCCCUCCAUAAGCACUAACCUGGCAGUACCCCACAACAAACUCACACCCACACCCCAAGGCAUAGCUAAACACAGAUAAAGCAUCCCCCCAAGGAAGGUGCCCGUGCAAACCGGGCUGUCUUGAAACCCCAGAACAUUGCCAACCAUUAAAUGGCGGAACUGAAACCACCACAUGCCUGUGCAAAACAGGAUGUUCUAAUGUCCAACAGCUAGCCCGUCCCCCAAAGAUCAACUCUCCCCUCUUAACUACCCCCAAAUGUACCCACCAUCAUAAAACAAAUCAUUUUUCCUUCUCAGUAUAGGAGAUAGAAAAGAAAAUAGGAGCAAUAACUAAAGUACCGCAAGGGAAAGCUGAAAGAAAAAUGAAACAGCCCAGCAAACUACUAACAGCAGAGCUUCUCCCUCGUACCUUUUGCAUCAUGAAUUAGCUAGUAACACUUAAGCAAAAUCUAUUUUAGUUUAAAUCCCCGAAACUAAGUGAGCUACUUCAAGACAGCCUAUAAAUCUAGGGCCAACCCGUCUCUGUGGCAAAAGAGUGGGAAGAGCUUCGAGUAGCGGUGACAGACCUACCGAACUUAGUUAUAGCUGGUUGCCGGAGAAGUGGAUAGAAGUUCAGCCUUUUGGAUUCUCCUUUCAACUAGACCCUAAUCUUCUCCCUGUUACAAAAGAAACCAAAAGAGUUAGUCAAGGGGGGUACAGCCCCUUUGAACCAAGACACAACUUUGAAAUGAAGGAUAAAGAUCAUAGUCAUUAAGGCCCGAGAGUUGAGGUAGGCUUGAAAGCAGCCACCCCCUAGAAAAGCGUUAUAGCUUAGGCACUGCGCCCUCACACCCUAAAAUUCCGAUAACCCAAUCUUAAUCCCCUUAUUCUAUCCGGCCGCUUCAUGCACUCAUGGAAGCGAUCCUGCUAGUAUCAGUAAUAAGAGGACCUAGAACCUCUCCCAGCACAUGUGUACCUCGGCUCGAACCCCCACCGAUAUUUAACGACCCCAAAAGAAGAGGGAACUAGACAGUCUAUAAAAACCCAGAAAACUCUCCAAUAGAAAACCGUUAACCCCACACUGGUGUGCUAAAAAGGAAAGACUAAAAGGAAGAGAAGGAACUCGGCAAACACCCUAUUGGCCUCGCCUGUUUACCAAAAACAUCGCCUCUUGCAAACUUGAACGAAUAAGAGGUCCCGCCUGCCCAGUGACAAUACGUUCAACGGCCGCGGUAUUAUGACCGUGCAAAGGUAGCGCAAUCACUUGUCUUUUAAAUGGGGACCCGUAUGAAUGGCAUAACGAGGGCUAAACUGUCUCCUCUUCCCAGUCAAUGAAAUUGAUCCCCCCGUGCAGAAGCGGGGAUACCCACAUAAGACGAGAAGACCCUAUGGAGCUUUAGACACAAAGACAGACUAUGUUAAACACCUUCGAACAAGAAAAAAAACUAAAUAUCCCCUGCUCUUAUGUCUUUGGUUGGGGCGACCUCGGGGAAACAACAAACCCCCAAGCGGAACAGAGGCACUGUCCUCCCAAACUGAGAGCUCCUGCUCUAAGAAAUAAAACUUUUAACCUUACAGACCCGGCAAAGCCGAUCAACGAACCGAGUUACCCUAGGGAUAACAGCGCAAUCCCCUUCCAGAGCCCCUAUCGCCAAGGGGGUUUACGACCUCGAUGUUGGAUCAGGAUAUCCUAAUGGCGCAGCCGUUAUUAAGGGUUCGUUUGUUCAACGAUUAAAGUCCUACGUGAUCUGAGUUCAGACCGGAGUAAUCCAGGUCAGUUUCUAUCUAUGAAGUGAUCUCUCCUAGUACGAAAGGACCGGAAAGAAGAGGCCCCUGCUCCCCGCACGCCUCCCCCUCACCCGAUGCAGGCAACUAAAUCAGGCAAGAGGACACGGCCCCCAAGCCCUAGAGCUGGGCGAAAUUGGAGUGGCAGAGCCCGGAUGAUGCGGAAGGUCUAAGCCCUUUACACAGAGGUUCAAAUCCUCCCUCCAAUUAUGGCAUUCCUCCUCACCCACCUUGCCAAUCCCCUAGCGUACAUUGUACCCGUUUUACUAGCAGUAGCUUUCUUAACACUGAUUGAACGAAAAGUUUUAGGAUACAUACAACUCCGGAAGGGCCCAAAUAUUGUAGGACCCUACGGACUAUUGCAACCCAUUGCUGACGGCGUUAAGCUGUUUCUCAAGGAACCCGUGCGACCCUCAACCUCUUCUCCUGUAUUAUUUUUAUUCGCCCCUAUGCUAGCCCUCACCCUUGCCCUCCUAAUAUGGGCACCUAUGCCUCUCCCACAUCCAAUUUUGGAUCUAAACCUAAGCAUUCUAUUUAUCCUCGCCCUUUCAAGCCUGGCAGUAUACUCCAUCCUUGGCUCGGGAUGAGCAUCAAAUUCAAAAUACGCCCUCAUUGGAGCCCUCCGAGCCGUUGCCCAAACCAUUUCCUACGAAGUUAGUCUUGGGCUUAUCCUACUAAGCAUUAUCAUUUUUUCAGGCGGGUUCACCCUGCAAACCUUUAGCACGACCCAAGAAAGUGUCUGACUCCUCCUCCCAGCAUGGCCACUAGCGGCAAUAUGAUAUAUUUCAACCCUUGCCGAAACCAACCGGGCCCCCUUUGACCUAACGGAGGGGGAAUCCGAACUAGUCUCAGGAUUCAACGUAGAGUAUGCCGGAGGACCCUUCGCACUAUUCUUCCUGGCGGAGUACGCCAACAUCUUACUAAUGAACACUCUAUCUGCUAUUUUAUUCUGAGGCGCAAUGUACACCCCCAUCUUCCCCGAGCUUACCUCACUUAACAUAAUAACAAAAGCCUCGCUCCUCGCGGUCCUGUUCUUGUGAGUGCGAGCCUCCUACCCCCGGUUCCGAUACGAUCAACUCAUGCACCUCAUUUGGAAAAACUUCCUACCUACAACACUUGCCCUGAUUAUCUGACACCUCUCCCUCCCCACAGCAUUCGCCGGGAUCCCACCACAAUCCUAGCACUGGAGCUGUGCCUGAAGUUUAAAGGGUCACUUUGAUAGAGUGAAUAAUGAAGGUUAAAGUCCUUCCACCUCCUUAGAAAGAGGGGACUUGAACCCCACCCGAAGAGAUCAAAACUCUUAGUGCUUCCUCUACACCACCUUCUAGAAA
Molecule: long non-coding RNA, 3326 nt
Filed under: Xyrichtys novacula (pearly razorfish)
Lineage: Eukaryota; Metazoa; Chordata; Actinopteri; Labriformes; Labridae
Rfam family: Bacterial large subunit ribosomal RNA (bases 530-2201)
Source: RNAcentral